This 35-nucleotide ribosomal RNA is filed under the name Beauveria bassiana. RNAcentral's name for it is "partial small subunit ribosomal RNA". The record is from RNAcentral. Lineage: Eukaryota; Fungi; Ascomycota; Sordariomycetes; Hypocreales; Cordycipitaceae.
GGCACCACCAGGGGGGAAACUCACCAGAACUCAAC